This 1155-nucleotide ribosomal RNA is filed under the name Triticum aestivum (bread wheat). Its description in RNAcentral is "partial small subunit ribosomal RNA". The record is from RNAcentral. Lineage: Eukaryota; Viridiplantae; Streptophyta; Magnoliopsida; Poales; Poaceae.
AUGAGAUGGGUCGCGAGGAACAAGGAGAUCCCACUCCGCAAACUGGGCGUGAGAUUCUACUUGAUGCGUUAUAACUGUUUGUCCGUCGGCAGAUCCGUCGCCGGCGCCAUGGCGACCCAGAAGGUCGAGGCCGCCGAGUUUGAUAUCCUGGCGGAGAAGGCUCGUGUCAAUUGCACUCCCGACGAUCUCCUCAAAUUUGCCAAGCAGUUCAAUACCUUCCUUGCUGAUUGUCCAGACGCAUUUGCUGGCCUCACACGGCUGCGGUUGCACAUUAUGAGGUUUGCUAAACCGGACAUAUCAAACAUCCUAAGCAUUUGCAAGCCGCUGCGCUCUCUGCGUUUCUCCCACUGCGACGCGGGGAUCGGCUCUGUGCUACAAGUGGAGCAUGCCCGACUCGUUGAGUUGGUGAUUGACUAUGGGAAUUUUGAGCAGCUCAGCUGCGCGCCAAAACUCGAAAGGAUGAGCUAUAAUAAUUGGAACUCUGACGGAGAUUCCCUGUUUUUCGGCUUUGUCCCGCGGCUCUCGGACCUAGAUCUCACCAAGGUUGGAACUCGUUCCAACAAAACUCUCGAGUUAGGCCAGUUCCUUGCUAAUGCCCCCAACAUAAGCAAUCUGCAUCUGGAUUUUGAAAGCGAAAAGAUUUGGAUUCUACCAGAAUGUCCGAAACUGCUCACACCUCUGCUCGGCAAACUACGGGUUGUGAAUCUGGACGAUCUUCCUGAAGGAUGUGAUAUUGCUUGGACAAUGUUCAUUCUUGAAGCCGCACCCUUCCUGGAUUACCUAUGCAUCACAGUAUGGGAUCAUUGCAUGGAAACUGACAGGAAGCUUCGGAAGGCACAUGGCUAUUGCGAGAAAGAAAAUGUGGAGUGGAAACCAUCUGUUUCUGAAUUCAAGCAUAAGCAUCUGGCUAAGCUCACCAUCUACGGCUUCCAACCCGACUUCAACUUCGUCGGAUACAUCAAUCGUGUCGUCGAAGUUGCAGUGAACUUGAAGGAAAUAUCUCUGCACGACAGGAAGUCAUGCAAUAGCUGCGGGAACUUGGAUCCCAAGAUCAAGGUUAGCCCGCCAAAGUGUUCGCGGACUCGGGAGGAGAGGGAGCUUAUUACAGAGGUGUUGGGGCUGGCUUCAUCUGAGAUGGUUUACUUCCGGUUCUAA